GUCCGUGGUGGUGAGACACCAUAUAUGAUAACAAGUGCCUGAUGAGUGAUACCAUACUGUGUGACGAUAAUAAUUAAAGACACUGAACCAUAGAUAAAAGAUAAACUGAACACAACGCUUCGGGAUACGGACGGGCAGUGGCGUUCCGAGUUAAGCUGGUGUGAGUUCGACGACUUGUAAUUUUUCGUCGUUGGUCGCGUGUGCUUUCGAUCGUUACUCUCGUUUGAGAAGACGUGCGGACGCCGCCUGUCCAUACGCCAUUUGACUUCGCGUGUACCGUAUACGGGUGUUUGAUUUACGUCAUUCAUUACUAAUUAUAUUUUACGCAUCUGCGAUUGCCAAGUACGUUAUCGGCAGCGGUGUAGUGGACGGUACAUGACAUGUGCCCGCCUCCUAAGUUUAUAUUAAUGAGUGUACCCCCUUAACAAAAUACGUGGUGUGUAGGUGUAACGAACACCACACGGAGACGUUACACAGGUACACGGACCAUGAAUAAGACGUAUUAUAACGUUACCCAGUAAAUAAUAUUUAUAUUGGCGGCCGUCUAAGGCAUACACAGAUCUAUAUUGAAUACUAUAUAGACAAAUAAAUGAAAUGGUGUGCACUCGUCCAAUAUGCCGUCUACCAUAAGUAUUGCAUCUACCAUAAAUCCAUGUUUGGUUAAUAUGCUAUAUUGCUAUCUACAAAUGAAAAUAGGUGUUUUGUCCAACGGACGUGCGGUAGAUAACAUAAGACUUAAUAACUGGUUAAGUAACCGGAUGGGGUUGGUCAUGGAGUUCUGAUUCCAAUAGUUCAAUGAUGACAUUACAGCAGUCGGGAUAGAAACAUCUGAUACCAAGAAAAUAAACUAUACCUACCAUAAGAAAAGAGUUGGUCAUAUAAGGCAAAAAUAUACAAGAGAAAAAAAACUAAAAUCUAGUGGAAGUGAAGGCAAAAAGAAAGAAUGGAUUCAUCCAUAACAUUUAACAUUUUUGAAGAUACAUCUUGCAACCUUGCAAAUUAUGACACAAUCUUAUCAACUGAAUCUGGUGUAAAAGAAAAAAAAAUUAAAGCUUAACAAAGUGAAAGUUCAAAUAUUACUCGUGAAUUUUUGAAGGAACCUAAAGAGAGUAGACCAAUACCACCAGUUUAACAAGUUCAACCAAAUACAAGAGAAUGAAAUGAAAACGAUACGCUAGAAAAUUUAAAAUUAUUUGAUAAUUGAUGUUAUAUUAUUAUUUUAUAUUAACUAUUAACCGUAUUAAAUAAAAUCAUGACCUGUCAAAAACCAUGAUGGAUACAUGAUAUGCGGGUUACAUUCCUUAAUCUAAUAUAGAACUUGCCCAAAGUAAAAUAUCGAGUAAAAUAUGUUUAUAAAUGUUUGUCUAACAUAUUUUAUUUGCUCUACUAAGCUUGAUGUAAUUCCAUUGUUGCACAUUGAUCAACAACAGAGACCUCAAAUUCAUUAAUUGGUUUUGUGUUAAUUAAGAUAAAAAUUGUAACAUAUAUAAACUUAUGUAACUUAUAUAAAUAUAUCAUAUUCACCAUUUA
Molecule: long non-coding RNA, 1530 nt
Organism: Acyrthosiphon pisum (pea aphid)
Lineage: Eukaryota; Metazoa; Arthropoda; Insecta; Hemiptera; Aphididae
Exons: 6
Source: RefSeq, a predicted model, not a curated record